Molecule: ribosomal RNA, 416 nt
Filed under: uncultured bacterium
Lineage: Bacteria
Description: partial 16S ribosomal RNA
Rfam family: Bacterial small subunit ribosomal RNA
Source: RNAcentral
UGGGGAAUAUUGCACAAUGGGCGCAAGCCUGAUGCAGCCAUGCCGCGUGUGUGAAGAAGGCCUUCGGGUUGUAAAGCACUUUCAGCGAGGAGGAAGGUGGUGAACUUAAUACGUUCAUCAAUUGACGUUACUCGCAGAAGAAGCACCGGCUAACUCCGUGCCAGCAGCCGCGGUAAUACGGAGGGUGCAAGCGUUAAUCGGAAUUACUGGGCGUAAAGCGCACGCAGGCGGUUUGUUAAGUCAGAUGUGAAAUCCCCGGGCUCAACCUGGGAACUGCAUUUGAAACUGGCAAGCUAGAGUCUCGUAGAGGGGGUAGAAUUCCAGGUGGUAGCGGUGAAAUGCGUAGAGAUCUGGAGGAAUACCGGUGGCGAAGGCGGCCCCCUGGACGAAGACUGACCGCUCAGGUGCGAAAGCGU